GGCCUCAGGGGCGCAAUGCCCUCGACCUAUUCUCAAACUUUAAAUAGGUAGGACAGCGCGGCUGCUUUGUUGAGCCACACCACAGAAUCAAGAGCUCCAAGUGGGACAUUUUUGGUAAGCAGAACUGGUGAUAUGGGAUGAACCGAAAGUCAGGUUAUGGUGCCAAACUGCACGUUAACCUAGAUCCCACAAAAGGUGUUGGUCGAUUAAGACAGCAGGAUGAUGGUCAUAGAAGUUGAAAUCCACUAAAGAAUGUGUAACAACUCACCUUCCGAAUCAACUAACCCUAAAAAUGGAUGGCUCUUAAGCGCGCGACCUACACCCGGUCGUUGGGACAAGUUCCAGGCCUCGAUGAGUAGGAGGGCAUGGUGGUCGCUGCAGAACCUUAGGCGCGAUCCUGGGCAGAGCGGCCGUCGGUGUAGAUCUAGGUGGUAGUAGAAAAUAUUCAAAUGAGAACUUUAAAGGCUAAAGAGGAGAGAGGUUCCAUGUGAAUGACACUUGCACAUGGGUUAGUCGAUCCUAAAGGUCGGGGGAACCCCGAUAGUAGCGCAUUUUGUGCGUACUCCAAAAGGGAAUUGGGUUACAAUUCCUGAAUCGAGAUAUGGCAGCUGACGUCAACAUUACGAAGUCUGGAUACGUCUGCGGGAGCCUUGGGAAGAGUUAUCUUUUUUGUUUAAUAGCCUGCCUACUCUGGAAUCGGCUCAGCCAGAGGUAGGGUCCAGAGGCUGGAAGAGCACCGCACACUGCGUGGUGUCCGAUGCUCUCCCGACGGCCCUUAAAAAUAUGAAGGACCGAAUUCCAUCCACUCCCGGUCGCACUCUUAACCGCAUCAGGUGUCCAAGGUGAACAACCUCUAGUCGAUGGAAUAAUGUAGGCAAGGAAAGUCGGUAAAAUGGAUCUGUAACUUCGGGAAGAGGAUUGACUCUGAGGGCUGGGCACGGGGGUCCCAGUCCCGAACCCAUUGGUUGUUGGUGUAUUGGACGAGCUGCUCCCACAGCAAGAGCGGGUUGCUGCGUGCCGACCUGGGGACAUACUGGGAACGGUUCCUUCAAGGGCCUUCCCCGCGCGUCAAACAACCAACUCAGAACUGGUACAAACAAGCGGAAUCCGACUAUUUAACUAAAACAAAGCAUUGCGAUAGUCCCAAUGGAUAUUCAUGCAAUGUGAUAUCUGCCCUGUGCUUUAAUUGUCAAAGUGAAGAAAUUUAACCAAGCGCAAGUAAACAGCGGGAGUAACUAUGACUCUCUUAAGGUAGCCAAAUACCUCGUCAUCUAAUUAAUGAUGCACAUGAAUGGAUUAACGAUAUUCCCACUAUCCUUGUCUACUAUUCUUCCAAAUCACAGCCAAGGGAACGCGCUUGGUAAAGUCAGUGGGGAAAGAAGAGCCUGUUGAGCUUGAAUCUAGUCCGACUUUAUGAAAUGACAUGAGAGCUGUAGUAUAAGUGGGAGCCGAAAGGCGAAAGUGAAAUACCACCACUUUUAAUGUUAGUUUACUUAUUCUAUGAAUUGGAAGCGGGGAACUGCCCCUCUUUUUGGACCCAAGGCUUGCUCUGCGGGCUGAUCCAAGCGGAACACAUUGUCAGGUGGGGAGUUUGGCUGGGGCGGCACAUCUGUUAAAAGAUAAAGUAUGUGUCCGAAGAUGAGCUCAACAAGAAUAGAAAUCUCAUGUGGAAUAGAAAGGUAAAAGCUCAUUUGAUU
This 1697-nucleotide ribosomal RNA is filed under the name Capsicum annuum. RNAcentral describes it as "Eukaryotic large subunit ribosomal RNA". It matches the Rfam family "Eukaryotic large subunit ribosomal RNA", at positions 1026 to 2726 of the family's 3401-position model. Lineage: Eukaryota; Viridiplantae; Streptophyta; Magnoliopsida; Solanales; Solanaceae. The record is from Rfam by way of RNAcentral.